Molecule: long non-coding RNA, 1273 nt
Filed under: Olea europaea subsp. europaea
Lineage: Eukaryota; Viridiplantae; Streptophyta; Magnoliopsida; Lamiales; Oleaceae
Source: RNAcentral
CUUGAUUUCAAAUGAUUUAAAAAUCUAUUUUUGAAAUGAUUAAUGUAUAUUUGAUUUUGUAAUCUAACUUUGUAAACUCCCUUUGUCAUCGUAGCAUAGCUAUUAGUUCCUAACUAAUGCCCCCAGGGCACAUCUCCAAGUGGUAAAAGGAGAGAGUGGAGAAAUCCAGCUUUGUUUGAGGCUGCUGCGUCAAGAGUUCGAAUCCUGAAAUAUGGAUUUGGCUCUUGGGUAAGUGCAAGUGUACAAGCAGCCUUCCACCCUAUACCCUUGGAGUCAUAACCUGCGAUUUACCUCCCUCACGAUACUCCAAGAUAGGGGUGAUGGGGACCCUUAAGAUUAGGGUUUAACCUUUUUUUAUUUUAGUUCCUAACUAACCCUUCUCGUGUCUAUUCUCUGGACUCAGAUUCUUACAAAAUCACAGAUUGUCACGUGACAUUACCAGAUAUAUUUGAAACAAAUGAAAAUUAAUAAUUAAUAAUUAUUCUCUUAAAAAAAAAGGCCAAUUAAAACCAAUAUUUCCCAAUUUAACAAAGUCAGUAAAAAAAAAAAAAAGUGAGGCUCAGAUCUGUUUUUGAGUCGGGCAAGAGGCCGAUCACGCCAUGGCUGCAAAAUCACCGGCUGCAUAAGAGAAAGAAGGACAAAACCCGACUCAGAUACCACCCGGGUUGCCCCGCCAAGAUACGGAUCAUCUCACUGCCUGAUUCAUCAGCUCAGAGGAACAAAGACAAAUAUCAUCACAGCCUCUUAAAAGCUUACUUAUUUUUACUUACAAGUAAAUAAUUUAAGCUUAGCCAAACAUACACUUAAGAUUAGCAAUACGAUGGUCCAUUAUAAACAACAGUAGAAGAAACUGCAGCGCCAACAGGAUAUAUAUAUAUAACCAGAGAACAAGAAGAGAAGAAGAAGAAGCUGCAGAUCCGGGCGAAGGUAUUCAUAGAUCCACUGGAAUUCAUGCUAUAUAUCCAUCUCUCUCUGUAUACGUAUGUAUCGGAUGUAACAUACAAACAAACACACACACAAGGGUUGUUGAUUUGGAAGAUAAAGGAUGAAAUCAUUGAGUAAAAGGGAGAGGCAACCACCCUGAGAAAUUCCAAUCUCCCUUCACCCUCAAUCGUUCCGUCUGAGCUUAACCCUAAUUGAACGGUGAAGAUUGUUAUUUAUAUAGCCUCUUCGAUUUCCAUUUUUAUCCUCAUUCGACUCUCUUAUUAACGGUUGUGGCUUCUUGUCGUUACAGGGAACUAUUAUUAUUAUUAUUAUUAUUUUUUUUUAACGA